This 514-nucleotide ribosomal RNA is filed under the name uncultured Thermoplasmatales archaeon. RNAcentral's name for it is "bacterial SSU rRNA". It matches the Rfam family "Archaeal small subunit ribosomal RNA", at positions 366 to 879 of the family's 1478-position model. Lineage: Archaea; Methanobacteriati; Thermoplasmatota; Thermoplasmata; Thermoplasmatales. The record is from RNAcentral.
UGCGAUAGGGGGACUCCGAGUGCGAGGGCAUAGAGCCCUCGCUUUUCUGUACCGUAAGGUGGUACAGGAAGAAGGGCUGGGCAAGACCGGUGCCAGCCGCCGCGGUAAUACCGGCAGCCCAGGUGAUGGCCGAUAUUAUUGGGCCUAAAGCGUCCGUAGCUGGCCGGACAAGUCCGUUGGGAAAUCCGCACGCUUAACGUGCGGGCGUCCAGCGGAAACUGUCCGGCUUGGGACCGGAAGACCCGAGGGGUACGUCCGGGGUAGGAGUGAAAUCCUGUAAUCUCGGACGGACCACCUGUGGCGAAAGCGCCUCGGGAAGACGGAUCCGACAGUGAGGGACGAAAGCCAGGGUCUCGAACCGGAUUAGAUACCCGGGUAGUCCUGGCCGUAAACGAUGUCCGCUAGGUGUGACGCAGGCUACGAGCCUGCGUUGUGCCGUAGGGAAGCCGUGAAGCGGACCGCCUGGGAAGUACGUCUGCAAGGAUGAAACUUAAAGGAAUUGGCGGGGGAGCAC